GAUGAACGCUGGCGGCGUGCCUAAUACAUGCAAGUCGAACGGACGGUCGUAAGACCGUUAGUGGCGAACGGGUGAGUAACGCGUUGGUGACCUGCCCUAUAGUGGGGGAUACCAGACCGAAAGGUCUGCUAAUACCGCAUGAGUUCUCGGGAGAUUAGAAGCCUGGGAAGAAAGCCGAAAGGCGCUAAAGGAGGGGCCUGCGUCCCAUCAGCUAGUUGGUAAGGUAACGGCUUACCAAGGCGAUGACGGGUAGGGGACCUGAGAGGGUGACCCCCCACAAUGGAACUGAAACACGGUCCAUACACCUACGGGUGGCUG
This 318-nucleotide ribosomal RNA is filed under the name uncultured Chloroflexota bacterium. RNAcentral's name for it is "bacterial SSU rRNA". It matches the Rfam family "Bacterial small subunit ribosomal RNA", at positions 28 to 351 of the family's 1533-position model. Lineage: Bacteria; Bacillati; Chloroflexota. The record is from RNAcentral.